CCUACGGGAGGCAGCAGUGAGGAAUAUUGGUCAAUGGACGAGAGUCUGAACCAGCCAAGUAGCGUGAAGGAUGACUGCCCUACGGGUUGUAAACUUCUUUUAUAUGGGAAUAAAAUGUUCCACGUGUGGGAUUUUGUAUGUACCAUAUGAAUAAGGAUCGGCUAACUCCGUGCCAGCAGCCGCGGUAAUACGGAGGAUCCGAGCGUUAUCCGGAUUUAUUGGGUUUAAAGGGAGCGUAGGUGGAUUGUUAAGUCAGUUGUGAAAGUUUGCGGCUCAACCGUAAAAUUGCAAUUGAAACUGGCAGUCUUGAGUACAGUAGAGGUGGGCGGAAUUCGUGGUGUAGCGGUGAAAUGCUUAGAUAUCACGAAGAACUCCGAUUGCGAAGGCAGUUCACUGGACUGCAACUGACACUGAGGCUCGAAAGUGUGGGUAUCAAACAGGAUUAGAUACCCUUGUAGUC
This 460-nucleotide ribosomal RNA is filed under the name uncultured bacterium. Its description in RNAcentral is "partial 16S ribosomal RNA". It matches the Rfam family "Bacterial small subunit ribosomal RNA", at positions 338 to 795 of the family's 1533-position model. The record is from RNAcentral.